GUAGGAGGAGGGAGGGGGCAGGGAGGGGAAACAACAUGACAGUUUUAAGUCAUUUAAAAAUAUUUUCGUUAAUCACAUAUUAAACUCCUAAUGCAGAUAUAAAUGCCUUUUUAAACAUUAGAAAAAUACAUUUGUGGUAAAAGAAAGAAUACCUAGAAAGGUAUACAGAGUGAAGUCUCUGUGCCCUAGCUCCCUGUCAGUCCCUUUUCCCCAAAGGAACUAAUUUCUUGUAAAUAUGUAAGCUGAGGAACUACCUGUGGCUGGUAUACUCUGUCCUAUCCUCAGAGUAACCAAGCACACCCCAUCUCCUUUCCCUCCUCCUAACCCCAGGGCUACAAACCAUGCCAACAGCAGGGGCUUGUUCUUAGAUACUCUGUCCACACUCUUGGCUUUCUCUCUCCACUCCAGUGGGACCCCCACCUUCCUCUCAACUUUUCCAUUUCAGAAAAUGCCUUUUUCAGAUUUUUUUUUUAAUCAAUGGCUUACACUUGAGUUUUGAAAAAAACUAAUGAAAUAAAAUGUGAGAUCUGGAAGGAAUUUUCCCGUAAUUGUGGAAGCCGAGGCCCCAGAAAAAUGAAUACAUGUACUAUCUUGGGUUUGUAUAAUAUUUUACUGGUUACUAAAGUGCUUUUCUAUUCAUCUUUGUAUUUGGCCCUCUUACUCGCUCCCUGUAUGGAAAUGAAUGGGCAGUAUUAUUGCCACUGUCUAGGUGAGGACACUGGGGUUUCCAGAGGCUGAUUAUUCCAAGAGCUGGGGCACUCCUUGUCCUAAGGGGGUGGGCAAGGCAUGUGUUACACCUCAGUGGCAUCACCAGCCUUGUGGAGGGAUGUCAGGUGUGGUGAGGAAAGGGUGGAGAGGUAAGGUAAUUCCUCAAAUUGCAAUACUUGGGAGGCUGGCUGUGUUGCAUAAAUGGAGAGCAGCUCUGGCUCAGGUACUCCGCUUUCCAAGUGUAAUUUGGUUCCUGGCCCUGGGUUUCCAUGGAGUUGCACCACGACUGCCUGAAGGGGAGCAGUAGGUGGAACUCCAGGCACUCAGCCAGAAUCGCCCUCCCAGACCUGGGCAGGUUGGAAGCUGGACUGCUGCUUCCUGGUGCCCGUGCCUGACAUGUGGGCCAGCUUCUCUCCCAUCAUGCUUUCCUUUGUCCUUCCCUUACUUACUUCUGUGUCCUGGAAGGGGAAACGUGCUCCCUAGCUUUACCUCCUUUCCCUCCAUGGGAGACUGAGUAAAACGGCAAGAAAGUCAGAAUUGAUCGAGGUCGCUCAGUGAGUCAGGUGCUGUGCUCCUGCCAUCUAUACAGAGACCAAAGGGACUUGGCCCCUGCUCUUGAGAUCUUCACAGCUCAGUGGGGUGGCUGCUUCCACACAGAACAACGUACAUGAGCUUGUCAUUGCAUCUGGCUUCAGGAUUGCUUCGUGGUCGAAAAAUGGCUGUUGGUGAUCCAGACUUCAUAUUGCAAGCAAGAGAAGGAUAAAGGGGAAGAUGCAAACGGGUUCGAAAAACGAAGGUGCAGAACGGCGAGUGGCUUGUCCAGGGUGGCCCAGCAGAUCCAUGGCAGAACUGAGGUGGCCCCAGAUCUUUCAGCCCCGACUGGGAGUUUAGGGCUGCCUACUCCUUGCACGCCUGACUGCCAAAACCACCUCCUGAUGCCUACUGAGAGCCUUCCAGUAAAAUUGAUGCUCCAAGAAGAUAUAUCAUGACCGGAAGCGUAGGAUGUCUUCCAUCUGGCUCUCAGCCUGGAUUUCGGGACCCAAGUUUGAGAAGCAUGGAUUAGCCAGGAUUUGGCAAACAUGUUUUGUGAAGGGCUGGACAGUAAAUAUUUAGGUCUCAUGGGCCGUACUGUUUCUGUUACAGCUGCUCAACCCUGACAUUGUAGCAUUGUAGCAAAAACAGCCAUAAACAAUAUGUAAA
Molecule: long non-coding RNA, 1908 nt
Organism: Manis pentadactyla (Chinese pangolin)
Lineage: Eukaryota; Metazoa; Chordata; Mammalia; Pholidota; Manidae
Exons: 4
Source: RefSeq, a predicted model, not a curated record